This 748-nucleotide ribosomal RNA is filed under the name Streptomyces sp. 533(2010). RNAcentral describes it as "bacterial SSU rRNA". It matches the Rfam family "Bacterial small subunit ribosomal RNA", at positions 87 to 847 of the family's 1533-position model. Lineage: Bacteria; Bacillati; Actinomycetota; Actinomycetes; Kitasatosporales; Streptomycetaceae. The record is from RNAcentral.
GGGGAUUAGUGGCGAACGGGUGAGAACACGGUGGGCAAUCUGCCCUGCACUCUGGGACAAGCCCUGGAAACGGGGUCUAAUACCGGAUAUGACUGUCCAUCGCAUGGUGGAUGGUGUAAAGCUCCGGCGGUGCAGGAUGAGCCCGCGGCCUAUCAGCUUGUUGGUGAGGUAGUGGCUCACCAAGGCGACGACGGGUAGCCGGCCUGAGAGGGCGACCGGCCACACUGGGACUGAGACACGGCCCAGACUCCUACGGGAGGCAGCAGUGGGGAAUAUUGCACAAUGGGCGAAAGCCUGAUGCAGCGACGCCGCGUGAGGGAUGACGGCCUUCGGGUUGUAAACCUCUUUCAGCAGGGAAGAAGCGAAAGUGACGGUACCUGCAGAAGAAGCGCCGGCUAACUACGUGCCAGCAGCCGCGGUAAUACGUAGGGCGCAAGCGUUGUCCGGAAUUAUUGGGCGUAAAGAGCUCGUAGGCGGCUUGUCACGUCGGUUGUGAAAGCCCGGGGCUUAACCCCGGGUCUGCAGUCGAUACGGGCAGGCUAGAGUUCGGUAGGGGAGAUCGGAAUUCCUGGUGUAGCGGUGAAAUGCGCAGAUAUCAGGAGGAACACCGGUGGCGAAGGCGGAUCUCUGGGCCGAUACUGACGCUGAGGAGCGAAAGCGUGGGGAGCGAACAGGAUUAGAUACCCUGGUAGUCCACGCCGUAAACGGUGGGCACUAGGUGUGGGCAACAUUCCACGUUGUCCGUGCC